This 82-nucleotide non-coding RNA is filed under the name Clostridium cellulovorans. RNAcentral's name for it is "ZTP sequence". It matches the Rfam family "ZMP/ZTP riboswitch aptamer (pfl RNA motif)". From Rfam's summary of the family: Previously known as pfl RNA. ZMP is also known as AICAR. RNAcentral also lists the same sequence under 1 other name. The record is from RNAcentral. Lineage: Bacteria; Bacillati; Bacillota; Clostridia; Eubacteriales; Clostridiaceae.
AAAUAAUCUUGCAACUGGCGGAAAUGGAAUUAACCAUAGGGAGCAGGAUUUUAGAAAAGUAUCGACCGUCUGGGUAAAUUAA